Molecule: ribosomal RNA, 2855 nt
Filed under: Alphaproteobacteria bacterium
Lineage: Bacteria; Pseudomonadati; Pseudomonadota; Alphaproteobacteria
Description: 23S ribosomal RNA
Rfam family: Bacterial large subunit ribosomal RNA
Source: RNAcentral
GAUCAAGCGCAAAAAGGGCAUUUGGUGGAUGCCUUGGUAUUAGGAGGCGAUGAAGGACGUAGCACGUUGCGAUAAGUCCCGGGGAGUUGCGAGCAGGCAUUGAUCCGGGAAUUUCCGAAUGGGGAAACCCACCCUUUUAGGGUAUCAUGAUCUGAAUACAUAGGGUCAUGAGGCAAACCUGGAGAACUGAAACAUCUAAGUAUCCAGAGGAAAAGACAUCAACCGAGAUUCCGCUAGUAGUGGCGAGCGAACGCGGAGCAGGCCAGUUGCAUUCAUUAUCUAAUUAGAAUAUUCUGGAAAGGAUAGCCAUAGUAGGUGAUAGCCCCGUAUAAGUAUGGGUAAUGAGUGUACAUGAGUAGGGCGGGACACGUGAAAUCCUGUUUGAAGAUGGGGGGACCACCCUCCAAGCCUAAAUACUCCCUAAUGACCGAUAGUGAACAAGUACCGUGAGGGAAAGGUGAAAAGAACCCCAAUGAGGGGAGUGAAAUAGACCUGAAACCAAAUGCCUACAAACAGGGGGAGCGAGUGUUCAGAAUUAAAAAGAGAAGAGAGUUUAUUUAAUGACUUGUCAUUCUUACAACUUGUCCGCCGAAGCACGUAGUGCGUAGGAGAAAGCUUGUCUUUUUGAUUCUGAACACUUGUGACCUCGUACCUUUUGUAUAAUGGGUCAGCGACUUAAUUUAUGCAGCGAGCUUAAGCCGAUAGGUGUAGGCGUAGCGAAAGCGAGUCUGAAUAGGGCGACAUAGUUGCAUGGAUUAGACCCGAAACCCGGUGAUCUAGCCAUGGGCAGGUUGAAGGUGCAGUAACAUGCACUGGAGGACCGAACCCACUAAUGUUGAAAUAUUAGGGGAUGACCUGUGGCUAGGGGUGAAAGGCCAAUCAAACCGGGUAAUAGCUGGUUCUCCGCGAAAACUAUUUAGGUAGUACGUCGUGUGAAUACCUACGGGGGUAGAGCACUGGAUGGGCUAGGGGGAUGCGAAUCUUACCAAACCUAACCAAACUCCGAAUACCGUAGAGUACUGCACGGCCAGACAGUCCAUGGGUGCUAAGGUCCGUGGACGAGAGGGAAAAAGCCCAGACCGCCAGCUAAGGUCCCCAAAUGAUGAUUAAGUGUGAAAGGAAGUGGGAAGGCCAAGACAGCCAGGAGGUUGGCUUAGAAGCAGCCAUCCUUUAAAGAAAGCGUAAUAGCUCACUGGUCUAGUUAAGCCGUCCUGCGCCGAAAAUGUAACGGGGCUAAAAUCAUCUACCGAAGCUGCGGGUGCCAUUCUUAUGAAUGGCGCGGUAGCGGAGCGUUCUGUAAGCCUGUGAAGGGUAACCGUGAGGUUAUCUGGAGGUAUCAGAAGUGAGAAUGCUGACAUGAGUAGCGAUAAAAUAUGUGAGAAACAUAUUCGCCGAAAGCCCAAGGGUUCCUGCGCAAGGUUAAUCCGCGCAGGGUAAGCCGGCCCCUAAGGCGAGGCCGAAAGGCGUAGUCGAUGGGAAUGAGGUUAAUAUUCCUCAGCCAGCAGAAGGUGACGAAGGCCGUAUAUUGUACAUCCUUAUUGGAUUGGGUGUGCAGUGAAGGACUUCCAGGAAAUAACCUCUGCAUUAAUGACCGUACCCCAAACCGACACAGGUGGGCUGGUAGAGUAUACCAAGGCGCUUGAGAGAAUGGUGUUGAAGGAACUCGGCAAAAUGCCUCCGUAACUUCGGAAGAAGGAGGCCCUCUUUUUGCGCAAGCAAUAAGAGGGGGCACAGGCCAGGGGGUAGCGACUGUUUAUUAAAAACACAGGGCUCUGCUAAGUCGUAAGACGAAGUAUAGGGUCUGACGCCUGCCCGGUGCUGGAAGGUUAAGAGGAGGAGUGCAAGCUCUGAAUUGAAGCCCCAGUAAACGGCGGCCGUAACUAUAACGGUCCUAAGGUAGCGAAAUUCCUUGUCGGGUAAGUUCCGACCUGCACGAAUGGCGUAACGAUUUCCCCGCUGUCUCCAACACCAACUCAGCGAAAUUGAACUCUCCGUGAAGAUGCGGAGUUCCCGCGGUUAGACGGAAAGACCCCGUGCACCUUUACUAUAACUUUACAGUGGUAGCAGAAAUGGCAUGUGUAGGAUAGGCGGGAGGCUUUGAAGCCGCGGCGCUAGCCGUGGUGGAGCCACCCUUGAAAUACCGCCCUUGCCCCUUUUGUUAUCUAACCGUGCUCCAUUAUCUGGAGCCGGGACCCUGUAUGGUGGGUAGUUUGACUGGGGCGGUCGCCUCCCAAAGAGUAACGGAGGCGCGCGAUGGUUAGCUCAGGUUGGUCGGAAAUCAACUGAUGAGUGCAAUGGCAUAAGCUAGCCUGACUGCAAGACAGACAAGUCAAGCAGAGACGAAAGUCGGUCAUAGUGAUCCGGUGGCACUGCGUGGAAGGGCCAUCGCUCAACGGAUAAAAGGUACGCCGGGGAUAACAGGCUGAUCUCCCCCAAGAGUCCAUAUCGACGGGGAGGUUUGGCACCUCGAUGUCGACUCGUCACAUCCUGGGGCUGGAGAAGGUCCCAAGGGUUCGGCUGUUCGCCGAUUAAAGUGGUACGUGAGUUGGGUUUAGAACGUCGUGAGACAGUUCGGUUCCUAUCUGCCGCGGGUGUUGGAGUAUUGAGAGGAUCUGUCCCUAGUACGAGAGGACCGGGAUGGACAUACCUCUGGUGUACCGGUUGUCAUGCCAAUGGCACCGCCGGGUAGCUAAGUAUGGAAUAGAUAACCGCUGAAAGCAUCUAAGCGGGAAACUAACCUCAAAACAAGUACUCCCUAUUAAGGUCGUGGAAGACUACCACGUCGAUAGGUCGGGUGUGGAAGUGCAGUAAUGCAUGAAGCUAACCGAUACUAAUAACCUAAUCGGCUUGAUCUC